UUACAGGCCUAGAAAAAAGAAAACUAACAGCUGUAAACCAACAGCUAGCCACCUAAAUGGUACUUUUAAGAACUAAAUAAAUCAAAUGAUAAAACAAUAAAGUAAAUAGCAAAACAUGAAAUGACAAAGAAACUAAAAGAACGCAGGCCUGAAAUCCCUUUCCCUCUUAUUGCUUGAUAACACCCUUCGGUACCAGCCAAUUGAGAGACCAAUCUUCUCCAAAAAUCAACCUUUGAAAUCUCAGUCUUCGUUGAAAUUACGAGUUCUUUGGACCAACCCACAGUCACACCGCCCAGACUCUACUUUGCCAUUUCAACACCGUUAGCUUAUUCUUCCUCUAUCGUGAUCUAUCAGUCCGACCACAGCAAUCAGAGCUUCCUCUAUCCAGUAUUGGGGGUUUUCGUGUUGUCUUCCCUUCAACGCCAUUCCAUGAGCCACUUUGUUGGGCUCCCGAGGUACAUACUCAAAACUCAGACUUCUGAACCUAUGGGGUCUCCCUUUUAUUUCUUUAAUCAGGCUACUAAUGUUCGACUUAUCAUCCUCAGCAGAGUUUAGUUUGCGUAUUAUGGCCAACGCAUCACCCUCCACAACAAUGUCUUGGAAACCCAUUUCCUCCACCAUAGUAACUGAUUGCAGACAUGCCCUUUCCUCUGCCGUAAUUGGGUCUGAAAUGUUCUCCCAUGGAAAGGUACACGCAGCUAUUACUAGAUCUUCUUUAUUUUGCCCUAAGAUUCCAGAGACUGAGUUCCCCGUGUGCUGAUUGAAUGAUGCAUCAAAAUUAAUUUUAAUAAUAUCAUCCUUUGGAGGUUUCCAAAAAACUUCCUCAACACCAUUUGCAUUUCUUGAAAUCUGCCCCAUAAAAUUAAUUUGUGCAUGAUAGGUACUGAUAAACGCUACUAACCCAUGAACUAUUUCUCUGAUUCCUUCAUGAUAAGUCUUGUUACGGUUAUACCAUGUAUCCCAGUAUACAAUCGAGCGAAUCGUAUAUAUUUAUGCAUCCUGGCUGUCAACUGUUCUUUCUAACUACUAUUUCCAAUUGGGUUCUCUAUUGCAUGUUAUGUCUGGCACACCCAAUCGUCGCAAAACCUACUGCGUGAAAGUACAAUCCCGAAACAGAUGGCUCACCGUUUCCUCCUCUGUUUGACACACCGGGCAAAGUGAAUUAGUUCCCAAUUUCCGAAGCCUUAGGUUGUAUAAAGUGGGUAUAAAUCUAUUCGCCACAUAAGGAUACAAAUUUUGCUUGGUAUCUUAAGGCUCCAUUUCUUUGUAUAGAAAGUGGUAGGACUGUAGGACUGUCAGCAUGUAAUCUAAAAAUCUCGAUUGUAUUGAUCCAUUUGUAACCACUUUUGACUGAGUAUUGCCCUGUAUUAUCUCCUUGCCAAAUUAGCUGAUCAUGAGGUCAACUGCUCACUAGAGGAAUGGAGAGAAUGCUCUUCAAUUGCUCUUCUCCAAAUAAGGAUCGGAUGGUGUCUUGCUUCCAGGUAGUGGUAUCCCUAUCAAUUAAAUCAGAGACAGUAGUAUAUCUAAUAUCUAUGUGUUGACAGUGCACUCUUCUACUUCUAGACCCCGGCACCCAGCUAUCGUUUCGUUCCAAAUGUUAACUGAUUCCUCGUUCCCAACUCGCCACCCCAUACCCUCAUCAAGGAUUUGUUUAGCACUCCAUAAACUUCUCCAGGUAAACGAAGGGUAAGAUCCUAACCCAGCACUCAUGAACUCCCCCCUCGAAAAAUAUUUUGCUUUCAUGACUCGAGCAAACAGACAGUGAGGCUGCGUAAUGAUUUUCCAACCCUGCUUCGCUAACAUGGCUAAAUUAAAUUUUUCUAGAUCCUUAAAACCUAGACCUUCCUUCGCUUUAGGGAUAUAAAAUCACUCCACUUGAACCAAUGGAUACCUUUAUUGGUUUUGGGAUUUCGCCACCAGAAUUUACUCAUAAGACUCUUUAAUUUUCGACAGAACGAAGUCGGAAGUUUAAAACAUUGCAUUGCAUAAAUCGAAAUUGCUUGUAAAAUAGAUUUCAAAAAUACCUCUUUUCCUUCCACAGACAAGAACUGCAAGCUCCAAUUGCUCAGUACUCUUAUAAAGCGCUCUUUGAUAUGCACGAACGCAUGUUUUUUCUGUUUUCCAACCAUAGUCGCAGCCCCAGAUAUCUUUCCAGAUUAUUAGAUAUUCUCACGCCCAAGACUCUUUCCACCUGUGUCUGUGUCUUCGGAUUCACAUUACUGCUGAAAUAAAUUAGGGACUUAUCAAAAUUCACCAAUUGACCAGACAUAUUUUCAUAUUCGUUGAUCACAGCCUUCAUAUUUCUUGCUCCUUCAACCGAAGCAUCACCAAAUAGCAUGCUGUCAUCUGUAAAAAAUAAGUGUGAAACCGAAACAUUACCCCUUCCUAUCUUAUCCCUAGCAAGCCUUCCUUCCCUCUUAGCCAACAUGAUUAGUCGUGAAAAACCUUCCUCACAAAUAAGGAACAAAUACGGGCUUAGUGGAUCUCCCUGUCUCAGACCUCUUUGAGGCUAAAAUUCCUCCCUAAUUCUACCAUUCAGCACCACUGAAUACGCAACGCUAGAAACACACCUCGUAAUAAGCAUGAUCCAAUCUUCACAAAACCUUAGUCGACGUAUCAUGUUUUCUAAGAAUCCCUAUUCUAUUCUAUCAUAGGCUUUGCUCAUGUCGAGCUUUAACGCAAAACCUUUCUUCGAAGACCCUCUUCUCUUCUUAAAUGAGUGUAGAAUUUCAUAUGCCACGAAAAUAUUGUCUGUAAUUUGCCUCCCUACUAUGAAUGCUCCUUAAUUAUCUUCGAUACAAUAAUUCAGAACCUUGUAGAAUCGGUUGACAAGAAGUUUUGAAAUAAUUUUAUAAUUCACAUUGCAGAGACUUAUGGGUCUAAAUUAGUUCAUAACUUUUGGUGAAUUGACCUUAGGAAUAAGAGCAAUACCUGUUUUGUUAAUCUCUUCCAUAUUCCUCCGGCCAUGUAGAACAUCUAAGUAGUACUUGGUCACCUCCUCCCCAAUGAUAUGCUAAUAUUUCUAAUAAAAAAGAGUAGGAAAUCCAUCCUCACCUGACGCCUUAAGGGGAGCAAUAGACUGUAUCGCCAUUACAAUAUUUUCUUCUUUAAACUCUACCAUUAGCUCUCUAUUAAGUCCCUUCAAAAUUCAUGAUGAGAAUGACGCAAAUAAUCUCUAACAAUCACCAGAUUCUUUAGAAGAAAAUAGCUCUUUAAAGUAAUCCGCAGCUAUUUUAGACAUUCCAUCAAAAUCGGUAACCAAGUUCCCAUCCUCCCUUUUAAGUCUCUUCACCAUAUUUUUCUUCCUACGACCAGUUGCACUUCUGUGAAAAAAUGUCGUGUUUCUGUCUCCCAUCCAAAGCCAAUUAGUUCUCGCUCUUUGUUCCCAAAAUAACUUUUUCUUGUCGGCCUCGAGAUUCAAAUGAAGUUCUAUCUUAAUCAUUUCCUCCAAUACCUCUUCAAUAUCUCACUAUUGCCCAACUCAAACAGUCUGGCGUUUAGUUUUCUGUUCUUCGUACCCUUAAUCUUUUCUCAUUUUGUGCCCAACAAUUCACUUCCAUUCCCAGCUCCUUCAGUUUCACCAACACAUCUUGAUUAUUUGAGGUCUAUUCAUGCUGGACUUGCUCAUCAAAACCUGGAGUUAGGAUCCAAUUAGCGUUAAACUGGAAUCUCCAUUGUCGCCCCUACCUUUCCUCUCGCCUUCCCUACUGUAUCCAUAACUAGCGGGCAAUGAUUAGAAAAACUAUGUUGUAAAUGGCAUACAGAAAAAUUGGGAAACCAAUCUAACCAUUCUUCAUUUGCAACACCUUUAUUGAGCCUCUCCCUAAUAUUGUUGCUAGUAAGCUGACCCUUUUCUCAUGUAUACCACUGGCCAGAGAACCCCAAAGCAGACAAACUAUAAUCAUCUAGUGUUGCUCUACAUGCAGCCAUCUGUCUUUCCUCAUGAACUCUACCUCAUUGUUUUUCAAACGAAAAGAGAAUCUCAUUAAAAUCACCAGCAACUAACCAAGGUUUAUUGUUCCCAUUCUGCAGCAUCCUUAGCAGCUCCCACGACUUUCUCCUUUCGUGUUCUACUAGUGCUCUAUAAAAUCCCGUGAAUCUCCAUACUCCCAACACAUUCUCCUCUUGAACCUCUACGUCAAUAUGUGACUUUGAGAAACUCUUUAACGUUAUAUUGAGCAUUUCCAUCCAUCCUAGAGAUAAACCUCCCCUUGUUCUUACUGCAUCAACAUCAAUAUCAUUCAGAAAAUCGCAGUGCCGCCUUAUUUUCUCCAUUCUUUUACUGUUAACUUUCGUUUCCAUUAGAAACAAGAUUUGGAGCUGAAUGUGUCUUACUUUUUUUUGAGACGUCUAACUGUUCGUGGUUUCCCCACACCACGAACAUUCCAACUAAGGAUUUUCAUUGCACCCGGCCAGUCAAUUUAAAAUUAGCCACCGAUAAAUCAGUUUCCAACCCCAUCUCCAAUACUCUUUUAUUAUUCCCGGAAUUUCCUACUGCGGAGUUAACUCUCUGCCUCUUUUUUCCAUCAAUAAACUCCACUGGUAUCUCCUCCAUCUCAAUUCUAUUCUCCCUUCCCUCACCGUCUCUACAAUUCCAGAAGCCCUUGCAUCCAUCCUACUUCGACCCUACCUUGCAUAACGUCCCAGCGGCCCUAUCCCUUCUAUACGAUCACAAUUAUUUGUUAUAUCCUCGCCAAACUUUUUUUCUAUUGUUUCCCCAUCAAUCUCUAUGUCGACCCACCGAUCAAAUUAUUGUUCCUCUCAUAACCAUUUACUCUUCAACUGACCGCCCCUCUUUAGUGGAGCCUUUAGUGACAGGUCUCCCACCCAAAUUCCACAUGUUGAUUCCCCAGUGUUAGUCAGACUUGGCAAAAACUUUCACCAUGUCCCAGUCAACCACAGAGAAAACAAAAAAACGACAACCUUUAUACUGGGAAAAAGCAUAUAAAGAUUUAUUCUGACCAAUAUUAAUCUGUUUCUUCCUUUUAAGCAGAGAUCGAGUAUCGAUUAAUACUCGAAUUUGCAUGAAUCUGCUAAUUCCUCUGAUCACUGUUGAUACGUCAUAUUCUAGAAAUUUACCAAUAAAAUCCCUAAACUAUCUUGCCAUACCCUCUGUUACAACUCCAAUUGGGAGAUUAUGGAUUUGCACCCAAAAAACCAUUUCCCAAAGAGGAACUGUGAGUGGAUCUUCGCCCUCUAAUAAUCUAUGGAGAAUAAUAAGAUGGCAGUUAAAAACCCAAGGCAUACCUUCCAUAACUCGAAUUAAGUCAAUUUCACUAUAAAACUUGAAUAAAACCCUCUUACCCUCUAAUUUUGAAAUAUCCACUCCUCUCAACGGAUGUCAUAAAUCAGCCAACAUAUCUUUUAAAGAAGGAAAAUUAACCACACUAUCUGUAAGAACUCGCCCAACCAUACAUAAAUCGUAUAGUUGGCCUAUGGCAGUGUCGGCACCUGAUACCACCAUGGGAUCUUCCUCAUUGUCCAUAAUAUUAAGAUUCACCAACUCGUCAUCCAUCGUAGUAAAGUCACCCAUAACGAUCCUUCACCAGCCUUUUGAGACACAAAAUCUGUAACACCCCAAAAUAAGGCAUAGUCAGAAUAGUAGUUUCGGGACCACAAAUCUGACAUCAAAAUAUUUAUUUUAUGAUUAUUAUGAGGUUUAGAAUAUGAGAAUAUGCAUGUGUUCAAGUUUCAUGAAGAAAUUCUAUGAAUAAGGCGUCCAAUUGGAAAUUAGGGACUAAAUUGAAUAAAUUGCAAAACUUGGAUUCUAGAAGAAAAUUGUAUGAAAUUGCUUUAGAUUAUAAAUUAGAAGGUCUUGGAGAGAAAUUUUCCAAUUUCUAAGUUUUUGGACAAAAAUGAGCUUGCAUAGAUAAAACUGUAAAGAAAUGACUUAAGGGCAUUUUGGUCAUUUGGCAUUUAAAUGAAAUAAAAUGGGAAAAAUGAACCAAAAUCAUCCAUUCUUCUUCUCCAUGCUGCCGAAAUUUUUAGGGUUUCCAUAGCUAGGGUUUUCAAGCUUUCCAAGCUCAAUAGUAAGUGCUCCCAAGCCCAUUUUUAAUGCUCUUCGUAUUUUUGAAAUCCCGGUAGCUUGCUCUCUCUAUUUCUACCCAUAUUUCAUGCUAGGGUUCAUGCUUAAAAAUUUAUCCAUCUAUGAGUUAUUUGUAUUUUGAUGGAUUAUGGAGGAAUAUGAAAGUUAAAUGUGUGUUAAACAUAUUUUCCUAGGUGAUUUUCAUGAAAAACCCUUAAAGGGACUUUUUUGUAAAAGUUGUAAAAUGUGUGGUUGAAAUGUAAAAAUAAUGGAAAAUGUGGACUACCAUAAGAGAGAAAAGUGUUCGCCUAGGCUUGGGUAAGGUAGAAAUUAUAUGUAUUUCGUUAUACGAGCCUAGGGACUAAAUUGUAAAAUUUUGUAAGGUUAGGGGCAAAACAGUCAUUUGGACCGGGGUAGAAUUUAGACUUGAAAUGAAUAAUGUAGAGUAUUAAUGAGCUAUUUUUAUUGUUAUAGACCUCGAGGGAUAAAUUUUGGAGGUUGACCGGGGAAAAUGAAAGGUUUCGAAAUAAUCGAAACCCGACACCAAAACGAAUACAAGGUCAGUUCGGAUAGCUUAAAGUAAACUUGUAAUGUGUCUGAUUAUAUGCAUUUAUGAAUGCAUGCUUGAUAAUGAUUUGUUGAAAAAUGUCUCGGUUGAGGAUGAAAGGGAAUUCGUUGGAUAAACCAUGAUUGACAUGUGUAAUGAGAUCCUGCAUGUGUUACAGAAGGGAUUUAGCUUGGAUGGGUAAUCUGUUGAUCUCAAUUAUGAAAAGGAUCUAGCUCGGUUGGGUGUUCCUUUGGAUGAUUGAGCCUCCCGAAGAAUAAAUGUACAUUAUGGAUUUAGCUCAGACGGGUAAUCCAAUUAGGGUCUGAAUUUAGCCUGGAUUGGUAAUUCAGAUCCGAGCUCAAUCAAGGUAUUUGUUAUUAUAAGGGAUUUAGACUGGACUGGUAAUCCCAAAAAUACCUUAUGAGUUCAUAAAAUAGGGGAUUUAGCCUGGACUGGUAAUUCCACCAUAAGAUGUGAGGUUCGCGGUAGUGCAUAUCUGAAAUGAUCAUCCUUAUGAAUUGACAGUUAUUGGAUAUUCCAUCCAGAUUUCCUAGAAGCCCAUUGAGAUUAAUAUGAAAUAUAUGUACAAAAUGAAAUGUAGCAUGAUGAGCUCAUCUAUGACAACUUACGUAAUCUUUUGUUAAGUGACUAAUUCAUUAAUUGAGUGUAUGUGAUAGAGAACCAUAUCAUACUUGUUGGUUUCAUUAUCUAUUAUGGAUGUAUGCUAGUUACUUGGUAAGUUUACUUUUCGGUUAUUCUAGCUUACUAAGCAUGUAAAUGCUUACCCCCUCUCUUUUCCUUACUUUUCAGAGCUCAAGGACUCGUAAUGAUUGGAAGACAGUUGGAGAGUCAGCACAUUAUCAAAUAGACUAGCAUUGGUAUAAAGAUAUUUCUAUUUUGUUCAAUGGCAUAUAUAGGACUUUUGAGUAUUUGGUUAUAUGUGUUAUUUGAUUUGCCAAAUGAAGGCUUGUAAGAAAAAUGUAUUUAUCUUUUUGUAUAUAGCCAUAGGAAUUGGCUUAUUUUGGAGCAGGCUAUGACCUACAAAAAUCUAUGCAUGGUUAUAAUUAUAUGUGACGGGUUGUUUAUAACUGGCAAUGAGUCUCAAGAACGAGCCAAUUUCGAAUGUAUUAAAGUGGCAUGAAAACUCACAAAUACAAUAUCGGAAAUAACCUAGCAUGUGUGAAACCAAUGAUAUGAGGUUUCCAUGCAAUAAGUUUUGCCAAGAUCAUUUAUAAGAGUAUAAUCAGGUUUUGUUUUGUAAUUGGUACUCAUUAAGUAUAUGUGAAAAAGAGGGUGACUAAAGGCUUGGAAAAUAGCCUAUUUGGGUCUACACGAUUGGACACACAGGCAUGUGUCUU
This 7930-nucleotide long non-coding RNA is filed under the name Gossypium barbadense (sea-island cotton). RNAcentral's name for it is "long non-coding RNA (GBAR_LNC004398)". Lineage: Eukaryota; Viridiplantae; Streptophyta; Magnoliopsida; Malvales; Malvaceae. The record is from RNAcentral.